UAAAUUUGAAAAAUUCUUAUAAAUAAAAGUUGGAGUUAAGAAAGAUGAAUUAAUGGUAAAUUAAGAAAAGUUCAAAGAUUGGAAAACUCCUUUAUCAUCUUGGUUUCAAUUAUUUUUAAGGGAGUGGUAGAUGCUUUUAGUAGCAUUUUUUUCUUUUUCUCUUCUCUCAAUCUUUUCUUUUUCUCUAUUUUCUUUCUUAUUCCUCUUUCUCUCUUUGUUCUUUCUCUCUUUUGCUUGCUUCUCUUUCUCUCUUUUCUUAUAUUCCUUUCUCUAUCUUUUAUACUCCUUCCUCUUAACUUCUUCCUUUUUUUUCUUUUCUUUGUAACUCUCUUAAUUGUUCAUCUCUUAUUCUUUUAAUCUCUCCUUUUCUCUUUGCACUCAAGAGCUUCUUUUACUUUUUCUUCAAAUUCAUCUCUUUCAAAGAAUUCAUUUACACUUUUAAUGAAUGCUUUUCCAAUUUUAAUGAGUUCUCCAAUCUCAUAUCUUAGCUCUUGGUUACUCUCAAAUGAAGAAGGAAGAAAUUUUUUUCUCAUGUAUGCUCUAAAAUCAUACAAAUUUUCUUUUAAGUGCAAAAACAAAACCACUACACACC
RNAcentral lists this long non-coding RNA (592 nucleotides) under Vigna radiata. Its description in RNAcentral is "long non-coding RNA (VRAD_LNC003847)". The record is from RNAcentral. Lineage: Eukaryota; Viridiplantae; Streptophyta; Magnoliopsida; Fabales; Fabaceae.